Molecule: long non-coding RNA, 559 nt
Organism: Aphis gossypii (cotton aphid)
Lineage: Eukaryota; Metazoa; Arthropoda; Insecta; Hemiptera; Aphididae
Exons: 3
Source: RefSeq, a predicted model, not a curated record
AGAACUAUGGUACAUUUCAUAAUACACAAUACGUUACUGCACGUUCCAUCAUGUGUUCUAAACACCGCCCGAGGACUCAACGACAGGUUCUGCUGCUUACUCCCUCGUCACAACAAUAGGGCAGUGUUCGGAAACAGAUUGUUCAUACAUGUGAGAAAUAUACUGGAGAUCAAAGUAAUUAAGUGAAUAAGAAAAGUUUUGAACUCCAAACGAUAGAAAGGCCUGGCUGGAAAGUAACGGAUACUGAUUUUCUCAAAGCCACGAAAAUAUAUUAUGAACUCUAACAAUUAUAAGAACAUAAACUACACCAAAAACAGAAUCGUUUUAGCCAUUAUCAAACUGAACUGAAAGUACACGUAACUAAUAAUAUUAAAAAUAUUCUCACUUCUAGUAUUGAUCAUUGAUAUAAUACUUUAGAGAGCUGUCUAAUUUCAACGCAAAACUAUUGCGAUUUGUGUUAUGUUUUUAGGUUCUAAAUAUAUACUUACAAUAUAGUAUUUGCGGCUAUUGGUAACUGUAAAUAAUUUGUAUAAAACCUUUGAGACUAAGCUAUUGGUUA